UUCUUACUGUUCAUAUAACAGUAAAAUGACGGUUUUGCCCUUACUUUUUUCUCACAAUUUCGGGCUGCCAUAAGGUGUGUGAAAAGGCUAUUCUACCCUUAUGGAUCUUCAAGCCCAAAUCUGAUCUAGAAACAGUGUUUAACAUGAAAACUCCCGACAUUUCCAGAUUCUCCAAUGGGACAAACAGUGAUGGAAAGGGAUUCAAUUGAGGAUUACCCUUUUGCCCUAAAGUCUGAAGUAUAUAAGCAAGAAAGUCACCAUCUAAGCACUUCGAGAAGCCUCCACCGUUUUCAUAACAGACUCUCAACCGACAUUAACGUUUUCCAUCAACAUCCCCAUCAUCCAGGGCAUGCUCCCACAGUUAGAAUCUGUUCCUCAGUUGACAAUACAAACUUCUGUGGAAAACAGAUUCUAUUUGUUCCCUGAUUUCAUAUCUGGAUAAGUCAAUCUGCUGUUUCAAGUUUCAAGAGAUGAUCAGACGCACAUUAAUCCGUGAAAUAAGAGCUUUUCAAAUCAAGAUUUGUGUUUUCAGAAUCUGGAGACAAGGAAGUACAACAAUGAGAUGUACGAUGGUCUCCAUUAUGUGUUAGUUGAUAAAGAGGGAAAUACGAUUCAUACUAUAAUUGAUGAAUCUGAUUAUCCUUACGUGUUGAACAAGAUGGAACAAGGACAGAUCUACGACAUCUCCCAUUUCUCCAGACGGAAACACGUAUCCAAAUACAAAGUUGUAGAUCAUGAUGCCUCAGCUGUAUUUCAAAGAGUCAACUAAAUUUGAACCAGUGGGACAUACGUUGCCUCCAAUUCCGCAGUAUGCAUUUCAUCUUCUUGAUUUUAAUUAAAAGGUAUGAAAAAGUUGGACACUGAUGUUGACCAUAUGAAAAAGUUGAUGUUGGUCAACCUGAGUAUAGCCCUCCUGAGUUCUCUCUGUCCCUGUGCUACACGAAGUUACUCCAGUAUUAUGUGGAUCAUCCUGAAGAAAGAAGAAAUCAACAAGGCUUCCUAAAACGAAGGCUCAACCAUCUGAGGUCAAGGGUCUUAUGAUCCAAAAUUAGAAUGUCGUAUAACAUUUGGAACUUAGUAACUCAAGUUACAACCAGAUCGAUUCUGCAUGCUUCUCAAAAAUGUUCCACCACCAACUGUAACAAACUGCAAUAAUGGGAACUCCCAUUUCAAGUUUACGGAAAACAGUUCAUUACACUUUUUACAUUCCGCGGCAAAGUGCGGGCACUACUACUAGUCUAUAAUGGGCAGAUGGUCCAGAACCUUCCACGGCUAAACCAUUGAUUCUUUCUCCAAAGUUGUUUUGUUAUCAUAUGACCUUUGUAAGAAUUUGUUUAUCAUCGAUAAUUCUAAUGUAUUUUGGAAUAUGAGAGAAGUUUUGUCCAA
This is a long non-coding RNA of Rosa rugosa (rugosa rose), 1386 nucleotides long. RefSeq lists it as uncharacterized. The transcript is spliced from 7 exons. NCBI's taxonomy places the organism in Eukaryota, Viridiplantae, Streptophyta, Magnoliopsida, Rosales, Rosaceae. The record is from RefSeq and is a predicted model, not a curated record.